This 382-nucleotide ribosomal RNA is filed under the name uncultured Glomeromycotina. Its description in RNAcentral is "SSU rRNA". It matches the Rfam family "Eukaryotic small subunit ribosomal RNA", at positions 716 to 1098 of the family's 1831-position model. Lineage: Eukaryota; Fungi; Glomeromycota. The record is from RNAcentral.
ACGCCAUUAAUUUGGUGUUGUGGGGAAUCAGGACUGUUACUGUGAAAAAAUUAGAGUGUUCAAAGCAGGCCUAUGCUCGAAUACAUUAGCAUGGAAUAAUAGAAUAGGACAGAGGUUCUAUUUUGUUGGUUUCUAGGACCGCUGUAAUGAUUAAUAGGGAUAGUCGGGGGCGUCCGUAUUCAAUUGUCAGAGGUGAAAUUCUUGGAUUUAUUGAAGACGAACUACUGCGAAAGCAUUUGCCAAGGAUGUUUUCAUUAAUCAGGAACGAAAGCUAGGGGAUCGAAGACGAUCAGAUACCGUCGUAGUCCUAACCAUAAACUAUGCCGACUAGGGAUCGGAUGAUGUUAAUUUUUAAUGACUCAUUCGGCGCCUUACGGGAAAC